GUGGCUCAGUGAUAGAGCGCUCGCCUGGAGUGUGUGAGGCACUGGGUUCGAUUCUCAGC
Molecule: transfer RNA, 59 nt
Filed under: Urocitellus parryii (Arctic ground squirrel)
Lineage: Eukaryota; Metazoa; Chordata; Mammalia; Rodentia; Sciuridae
Also listed under: 2 other names
Description: Spermophilus parryii (Arctic ground squirrel) tRNA
Rfam family: tRNA
About the family: Transfer RNA (tRNA) molecules are approximately 80 nucleotides in length.
Source: Rfam by way of RNAcentral